AGCAAGAUGCACUGGCUGGACAUGAGGGUGUGAGAUGAUGAUGAUGAUAAUCUCCUGACUCAUCCAUAUCAGUAUAAAGUGGACUUCAGUUCUCAGUGCUUGAGUCCUGCUGCAACCAUGAAGACACUGGCUGCCUUCCUUCUUGUGAGCCUCCUUGUCAUUUCCUUAGCGAUGCCUGCUGCAUCUGGUCCACAAAUCCCAAGAAGGAAGCCAGGGCUCUGCCCAUUUGUUGCUGGAAGGUGCCGGAUGCUUGAUCCACCGAACAACUGUGAUUCUGAUUACCAAUGUCCAAAUGAACUGAAAUGCUGUGAAGGAAUGUGUGGAAGAGACUGCGUCAAGCCAAUAUUUGUUUAAAUCUCUCGCAUCUCAUGGAUACCCAGCACCAACAUGGAUGUCCUAAACUUGAGAUUUCCAUGCUAUCACAAUUCUUCUAAUUAACCGAGGACUGGCACCAUAUUUAUACCUAUUAGGUAGAACUAGUUUUUCAUUCUUUCCUGGAAACCCAUUACAACUGAUUGCUUUUGGAGCAGCACCAGUCCAUGGAUCUGCACUUUGAGAAGCAUUUCCCUAUAUGAUGUUAUUUCACCUGUGGCAUUUGUGUGACUGCAAGCCCCAACCAAGUAUCAUCCCAAAUGAUUCAUUGAACUUUAUCUUCUGAAAUAAUAAACUCAGCCUGCCUGAGAUCACUAAUGGACACUCAUUAACAACAAUUUAUACAAGAAUCCUCUGUUAACUGAUGAAUAAUCCGAAUAUGGAAGAAAUAUAUCCAAGCCAAAACCUAGGGGUGAAUUAGUCAUUAUUUGAAGAUAGGGUUUCUAAAUAUUUUGAAGACCUAGCCCCAAAAGGAACAAAGAUAAAUGGUCUCUUCAUGUCUUGAGAAGUCAAGUAAAUGGUCAUUAUCUUUUAGGUUUACUUGUAAAUCUAAGUCUAUAAUGAUAUAGUUUGGGAUGGGCAUAGUGUAGCCCUUCAUAUAUUGUUGGACUACAAGUCCUAGUAAGUCUAGCAGUAAAACUGAUGGUCUGGAAUGCUGGUGGCUGUAAUCUGGAGGGUUGUAUCAUCCUCACUCCUGAAAUAGAUAAAUGAUGGAAACAAAUGAUUUCCUAAACAUUCCUGAGUUAAAGUUACUCGAUAUUUGAACAUAUCCUGAACAUUUAUUUACUUUCAUUUCCUUUUUUGGAAGUCGUAUUGGGGUCACUUUUGAACCAGCAUUAAUUUUCAUUUUCAUGUUAUGGUCUGUGCCAGAACAUAAGAAUGGAUCAUUCAUUAUGUGCAGGCAUAUGCCCUGUGCUGCUUGCAUCUAAUGUGAUUUAAGUGAUAAAAGCUCCUGUUUUAACUCUGUGCAACUUAUUUUUUUCUUAUAUAAUGUCACAUUAGCAGCACUGGGUAUGCAAUCAUGUUCUAUAAAUUACAAAACAUCAGUGACAGCAACAACUUUUCUGAUGAUGAUAUAAAAGACUAUUUAGUGGCAGUUUGCUAUACACAUAUGUUCUCAUGUUCUUUUGUCUGUGUUGGUUUUUUCAAUCCACCACCCCCUUUUCCUACUGCUAUCAUCUUUACCAAGCACUACAUUUCUCCAUUGGAAAUGGUUACCUAAUAUAUGAUGGAAGAUAUAUACUGAAUGUACUAUUAGUCAAUGGUUUUUUAAAAAAUGUUCAGGCAAAAUUUCUACAACCAGAAUACUAUAUUUUUGAUAUGAAUUCAAUUGCAGCCUGAAGUUUUUGGGCAUUGCCUUUCAGGCCAUUGUUUUCACUAUUGUACCUCUUACUGCAAACAAAAGGUUGUUACUGCAACAUGAAACAACCUUUUGGGAAAGGGAUAUGUAUUUUUCAUGAAAGGAGUUCUUAAAAUGAAAGUUAACACUGUAAUUGUAAUUUUGAACUUCAUGAAUCUUUGCCAAUAAAAUCUUUUCUGCAGCAGUUGCAAAUCU
Anolis sagrei ordinatus is the source of this 1927-nucleotide long non-coding RNA. RefSeq lists it as uncharacterized. The record is from RefSeq and is a predicted model, not a curated record. NCBI's taxonomy places the organism in Eukaryota, Metazoa, Chordata, Lepidosauria, Squamata, Anolidae.